GAAAGAGCAUUCCAUCAUGACCCUUGGACUGGGUGAGAGCAUCAUCCUUUAAUUAAUGUCUGCGCUGGGUCAGAUAACCAUCACUGUCUCCAGGUGCUGGAAUACAGAGAGGAACCAAACAGAUAAAAAUCCUUGCCUGCACAGAGCUUACCUUCAGCUAAGGGAGACAGUCAAAAACAAGUCAACACAUCUAAAGAAGCCACUGAUGAAACAGGCUCCCCCUUGGAAAGACCAUCUCGCCUUCCAACCUCUCCAUCCUGCAGAGAGGAAAACCCAAGUUUGGCGUUGGCAGUCAGGUAAUUCAUCAGAUCUGGAAACCACCUCAUCAGCAUCCCCCUGGCCAACUGGAAGCAACCGUGACGUUGUGCUGAACGCACUUGCAGAGUCGUGCUGUGGUCUCUCCGAGCUCAUCACAGCACCUCCCUAUGCAGGAGUUUCAAUUCAAGGAUUUAGCCAAAUUUGGGUGCUAUUUCCCUUUUGUGGGGGGACUUUUCAUCACAAUGAGAAGGAUGUCUUAGGACUCCAGGACAUUGAGAGGCUUGCCCAUGGCUGAGCAUGAACCAAUCAGCACACACUUCCCUGCUUCUGAGCCCAUUAAAACGCUGGACUCAGCCAGACUCAGACAGAAGUCAGGACUAACAGCUGUGGGAAGGAGCUACCCACUUCCGGUCUCCUUGACUCUUCAGGAUUACCUGCCUGCAGGUACGAGCUACCCACAAUGGGUCUCCUCUCCACUGAGAGCUGGACACUUGCCAGGACGACCUGUCUGUGGAAAGGAGUUACCCACUUUGUGCCUCCUGAGAGCUGGACACUUGCCAGGACGACCUGUCUGUGGAAAGGAGUUACCCACUUUGUGUCUCCUGAGAGCUGUUCUGUCACUCAGUGAAGCUCCUCUCCACCUUGCUCGCCCUCCAGUUGUCCAGGCACUCCAUUCUUCCUGAACGCAAGACAAAAACUUGGGACCUGCCAAAUGGUGGGACUGAAGGAGCUAUAAUACAAACAGGGGUAAAACACAACCCCCGCUCUCCAUAAUGAGAGAAGAGCUGUGGCCCUUCAAGGAGUUCAGACCUGGGGGCUCCCCAGGCCAGCGUUGUGACACCUUCUUUAGGGCUCUGUGGUUCCUGGUGUCUCCAAGCUUCUGGGCACCACUGCGUUUCUCAGUGCCCACAAUGGAAGCCGCUUGUAGUACACCUGGUCCACCAUCAGCCACGCACAGAGCCAGCACCUGGAGCUGGCCUCCCCACUGCAGCCAGCAUGCCUGGCUGUGUGCAGUGGCCGGAACCCCUUCACACUCACACAUCCCUCGCCACUCUGCACAUGGCUCACCCUUGACAGGCAUGGAGUCUGGCCAGUAGCUAGAGCUGAGUGCAGCCUGCCGGGCCAAGUGGGUGGAAUGAGCCCAGCGGUCCCGAGGAAAACUUGGGCAAAGGUUCCACUGGCCACAGAGGUUUCCAGCUGGCAGAGUGACACCCUAAAGAUCCUGUGACAUUUUCCGGGACAUUAUCAUGACCACAGACUCAGCAUCAAACAGUUAAAUGACCUUCACAGAAACCCAUGGGAUGAACUUAAAGAGAAGCCAUAUGAGGGAUUCCUGCAGGUAAAAAGCCUGCCACAAUGUAGAUAACCACCUCUGCCUUAUCACAUUGGAAAAUUAUGGCUGAGCUAUGCCAGGAUUUUGUGAAGGCUGAGGCAGAAGACAAAAGAGCCUGGCUUAAAGAUGUAUAGACCCACCAAUUCCACUCCUAUUUCUAAACCCAAAGACAUGUCCACCAAAAGACAUACGCAAGUAUGUCCAUAAUUGCCCAAACUUGAAUCAACUGAAUGUCCAGCAAUAGUCAAAUGGGGAAAUUAAACAUUCAAUGAAAGACUA
RNAcentral lists this small RNA (1870 nucleotides) under Pan troglodytes (chimpanzee). Its description in RNAcentral is "processed transcript". The record is from RNAcentral. Lineage: Eukaryota; Metazoa; Chordata; Mammalia; Primates; Hominidae.